UUAAGCGACUAAGCGUACACGGUGGAUGCCCUGGCAGUCAGAGGCGAUGAAGGACGUGCUAAUCUGCGAAAAGCGUCGGUAAGGUGAUAUGAACCGUUAUAACCGGCGAUGUCCGAAUGGGGAAACCCAGUGUGAUUCGUCACACUAUCGUUAACUGAAUACAUAGGUUAACGAGGCGAACCGGGGGAACUGAAACAUCUAAGUACCCCGAGGAAAAGAAAUCAACCGAGAUUCCCCCAGUAGCGGCGAGCGAACGGGGAGCAGCCCAGAGUCUGAAUCAGCUUGUGUGUUAGUGGAACGGUCUGGAAAGUCCGACGGUACAGGGUGAUAGUCCCGUACACCAAAAUGCACAGGUUGUGAACUCGAAGAGUAGGGCGGGACACGUGGUAUCCUGUCUGAAUAUGGGGGGACCAUCCUCCAAGGCUAAAUACUCCUGACUGACCGAUAGUGAACCAGUACCGUGAGGGAAAGGCGAAAAGAACCCCGGCGAGGGGAGUGAAAAAGAACCUGAAACCGUGUACGUACAAGCAGUGGGAGCACCUUCGGGUGUGACUGCGUACCUUUUGUAUAAUGGGUCAGCGACUUAUAUUCUGUAGCAAGGUUAACCGUAUAGGGGAGCCGCAGGGAAACCGAGUCUUAACUGGGCGUUAAGUUGCAGGGUAUAGACCCGAAACCCGGUGAUCUAGCCAUGGGCAGGUUGAAGGUUGGGUAACACUAACUGGAGGACCGAACCGACUAAUGUUGAAAAAUUAGCGGAUGACUUGUGGCUGGGGGUGAAAGGCCAAUCAAACCGGGAGAUAGCUGGUUCUCCCCGAAAGCUAUUUAGGUAGCGCCUCGUGAACUCAUCUUCGGGGGUAGAGCACUGUUUCGGCUAGGGGGUCAUCCCGACUUACCAACCCGAUGCAAACUACGAAUACCGAAGAAUGUUAUCACGGGAGACACACGGCGGGUGCUAACGUCCGUCGUGAAGAGGGAAACAACCCAGACCGCCAGCUAAGGUCCCAAAGUCAUGGUUAAGUGGGAAACGAUGUGGGAAGGCACAGACAGCCAGGAUGUUGGCUUAGAAGCAGCCAUCAUUUAAAGAAAGCGUAAUAGCUCACUGGUCGAGUCGGCCUGCGCGGAAGAUGUAACGGGGCUAAACCAUGCACCGAAGCUGCGGCAGCGACACUAUGUGUUGUUGGGUAGGGGAGCGUUCUGUAAGCCUGCGAAGGUGACCUGUGAGGGUUGCUGGAGGUAUCAGAAGUGCGAAUGCUGACAUAAGUAACGAUAAAGCGGGUGAAAAGCCCGCUCGCCGGAAGACCAAGGGUUCCUGUCCAACGUUAAUCGGGGCAGGGUGAGUCGACCCCUAAGGCGAGGCCGAAAGGCGUAGUCGAUGGGAAACAGGUUAAUAUUCCUGUACUUGGUGUUACUGCGAAGGGGGGACGGAGAAGGCUAUGUUAGCCGGGCGACGGUUGUCCCGGUUUAAGCAUGUAGGCUGGUUGUCCAGGCAAAUCCGGAUAAUCAAGGCUGAGGUGUGAUGACGAGGCACUACGGUGCUGAAGUAACAAAUGCCCUGCUUCCAGGAAAAGCCUCUAAGCAUCAGGUAACAUUAAAUCGUACCCCAAACCGACACAGGUGGUCAGGUAGAGAAUACCAAGGCGCUUGAGAGAACUCGGGUGAAGGAACUAGGCAAAAUGGUGCCGUAACUUCGGGAGAAGGCACGCUGGUGUGUAGGUGAAGUCCCUGCGGAUGGAGCUGAGACCAGUCGAAGAUACCAGCUGGCUGCAACUGUUUAUUAAAAACACAGCACUGUGCAAACACGAAAGUGGACGUAUACGGUGUGACGCCUGCCCGGUGCCGGAAGGUUAAUUGAUGGGGUUAUCCGUAAGGAGAAGCUCUUGAUCGAAGCCCCGGUAAACGGCGGCCGUAACUAUAACGGUCCUAAGGUAGCGAAAUUCCUUGUCGGGUAAGUUCCGACCUGCACGAAUGGCGUAAUGAUGGCCAGGCUGUCUCCACCCGAGACUCAGUGAAAUUGAACUCGCUGUGAAGAUGCAGUGUACCCGCGGCAAGACGGAAAGACCCCGUGAACCUUUACUAUAGCUUGACACUGAACAUUGAGCCUUGAUGUGUAGGAUAGGUGGGAGGCUUUGAAGCGUGGACGCCAGUCUGCGUGGAGCCAACCUUGAAAUACCACCCUUUAAUGUUUGAUGUUCUAACGUUGGCCCCUUACCGGGGUUGCGGACAGUGUCUGGUGGGUAGUUUGACUGGGGCGGUCUCCUCCUAAAGCGUAACGGAGGAGCACGAAGGUUAGCUAAUCCUGGUCGGACAUCAGGAGGUUAGUGCAAUGGCAUAAGCUAGCUUGACUGCGAGCGUGACGGCGCGAGCAGGUGCGAAAGCAGGUCAUAGUGAUCCGGUGGUUCUGAAUGGAAGGGCCAUCGCUCAACGGAUAAAAGGUACUCCGGGGAUAACAGGCUGAUACCGCCCAAGAGUUCAUAUCGACGGCGGUGUUUGGCACCUCGAUGUCGGCUCAUCACAUCCUGGGGCUGAAGUAGGUCCCAAGGGUAUGGCUGUUCGCCAUUUAAAGUGGUACGCGAGCUGGGUUUAGAACGUCGUGAGACAGUUCGGUCCCUAUCUGCCGUGGGCGCUGGAGAAUUGAGGGGGGCUGCUCCUAGUACGAGAGGACCGGAGUGGACGCAUCACUGGUGUUCGGGUUGUCAUGCCAAUGGCACUGCCCGGUAGCUAAAUGCGGAAGAGAUAAGUGCUGAAAGCAUCUAAGCACGAAACUUGCCCCGAGAUGAGUUCUCCCUGAGACUUUAAGUCUCCUGAAGGAACGUUAAAGACGAUGACGUUGAUAGGCCGGGUGUGUAAGCGCAGCGAUGCGUUGAGCUAACCGGUACUAAUGAACCGUGAGGCUUAACCUU
RNAcentral lists this ribosomal RNA (2900 nucleotides) under Klebsiella pneumoniae. RNAcentral describes it as "bacterial LSU rRNA". It matches the Rfam family "Bacterial large subunit ribosomal RNA". The record is from RNAcentral. Lineage: Bacteria; Pseudomonadati; Pseudomonadota; Gammaproteobacteria; Enterobacterales; Enterobacteriaceae.